CCCGGAGCGAUGGGGGAGCGGCGGGCGCUCUCAGCGCGUGGAAAUGGACGGCGGAGCCCAACGUCGCGGGUAGAAAUGGCCGCCCCCCUCCGCCGGGAGAUGGCCGGGAGGGGGGGGGACCGUGCUCCGCAACGACUGCAAGCGUGGUCCCGCUAUUAACCGUGAUGAAUUGCCCUCAAAGAGCGAGUUGUGAAAGAGAGAAGUCCAGGCAGGUGUCCGCGAUAAGGAGACAUUAAAAUGCUUCGUCUGUAAACUCGCUUGUCCCACGGAGGGGAACCAGUGGGUUUUCAGGCUGUGCCCACCGAGAAUGGGCUGAGCGCAUUCGUUCGCCUGGCUGUAAGUGCACAGGGGUGGCUCGGAGCUGUACAGACUCACACAACUGGAUGAUCUCGCAGGGGCUGUCGUGGCCGAAUGCCACAGACUCGACUGUCCCGUGCUGCAGAGAAGCGUGCGUUGGGAUCCGGCAGUCCUGUGGAAAUUCAGGUUCACUGAGCUCAAAAGAAACGCGGAGCCACAAAUGUAUGAGCCGGGUUACACCCACGGCUGCCGGCGGGGCUGGGGAUGCAGUGCUGUAUUCCACACAUACCCAUCAGAACGAGGGCCCGAGCUGCUGAGGGAAAAGCUCAGAAGCUGUUGAAUCCCAUUUAUUAUCAAUUUUAUGAUGAUUUUUCUCUCGCUAUUUUGCUGCCUUGUUUGGUUAUUGAUGAAUUCCAGAACGGUUUCUUCUUGUUUUGCCUCUGUGUUUUACGCUUUGGGAUGGGUGAGGGUAAAAUGAGCAUCAGUGGCUCUAUAAAGAGUUCCUUGAGCCUCGUGCUCCCUUUGAAAUCCCAAAUGGAAGGUUGUCCUGCCACGGGGCUGUGGAAUUACCCCACAGAUGGGGAGGAUGGGGAAAAAGCAGCAGUAAGGCCAUCGUGUACGUGGCAUUGCAAGAGAGUAAAGAGAGACCUUACAGAAAUAUACAGCAGGGCUCUGUGGGAACGUGGAGGUUCAGACUGCAGCCUGGCCCUGUGCUUCACUGCAUUGGCUUCCCCCACUUCAGCGUGUGUGCACACAGAGUCCUGUGUCUGUUGUUUCCUCCCAGUGCUUUAGGAUGCCAGUGACUCUUGUUUGUGAAACAAAAGGGCAGCUCAAGAGGGAAAAAAAAAACCUGACACUGUGUUAAUUUUCGCAGGUUUGUGUUUACAGUGUAUAGUAAUAAUACCUUGCAUUUGUGUAGCACUUGCCGUUUGGCAAUCAGAAUGAGCACUGUGCCCGUGCUGAAGUGAAUUUCGCCAUUGCUCAGAGACGUGUGGAUGUGUUAUCCUCCUUUUACAGCUAUUUUAAAACACCACCAGGAGGGCUUAGAUUGCUGCUGUACAGCACAAACUACAACAGACGCGGUAUAAAGGGUGGGCAGACUACCUGCUGCAAUGGUUUAUAUGUUUUGCAGUGUAUUUGUGGUGGGACAGCAGAAGCUGUGAAUUUAAAAGGCCGAGCACAUUCACAUUCAUGAGUGAUAAAAGAGCUCUGGAGGUGGAAGUGAGGCACGAUUCCUUCCUCAUCUCCAUUCAUCUACAUGCUGAUGAUCUGCACGUCUUUCAUCUUCAGACACGCAGGACCCGAUCUGAGAAGAUCUGCCCCAAUGUGGAAAAUGUAUUGUAAUGUCUUUUUCUCUGAUGAGCGGCUUAUAAACGUUUGAGCUGAGAUUUCAGCAAUCAGAGCUAUACCUUCCGCCUUCGUUUCCUGUUUAACCUUGUUUCUCAGGUCUUCACUUCAAUCAUGCAAUUACCGCUUAUGCAUUUUUAGGAGAGCUUCAUUAAAACUGUGCCCUUGCAUUGGUUUCAGCAGCACCGGCAUUCAGUUGUGCAGCACUUGCAGGUUAGAUUGCAGUAGCUGGUUUAUUCUCAUCCUUUAAAGACUGCCUUUUUUCCCACUGUCCCUGUGGAAAAGCGAGCAAUUUAAUACAAUGAUUCCUUCCAAAACGUUUUAGGUCACAUCGUUGGUUGGUGCAUAUUGGCAUUAUGAGAUGAAAAUCGAUGGAGCUGUGGCACUCUAUGCAGUUCGGGAUUCCAGGGCUUUAAUUCCCUCCGUUUCAAGAGAUGCGAUACUGAAAUCAGUCCAAGUAAUAGUUGAAAUGAUUGGAGUGGAAGCUUGCACAGAUGAUGAGCCAGGUGCUAAGAAAUGCCAGCUCAGAAAACACUCAGGGCACUGUUAGACCUGGGGAAGGUGUUAGGAGGAGCAGCCGCCCAUUACCAACUUCUUACCCUUUUUCCCAAACAAUGUGGUGUUGCUGUUAGGUGCUGUGCUUGACUGGACCUCACUUUGGGAGACGGUAAUAACAGGUUUUGUAUUCUGGUUCAAAGCAGCCCCCGCGUUUGCUGUAAGCCUACGGAUGCUAACUGCUUUGAUCACUGGGGUUUCUAAUAGCAAAACGUUCUUGUUAUUCAGCUUCGUUUGUGUAGGAGUCUCACUGCAUAAGGGCUGAGGCAGCAAGGAAAUCAGAUACUUCUGUAUGUCUGUGCACGGGAUUUAAAAACAUGGGGAAAAGUAUUUCAAAGUGUCCUAAAUCCCAAAGUGUAAGGCAUGUAUUGUUACAGAUGAUAGUAGGUUUCCUGCGGUGAAUGCAACUGCUGUGGCUGAUAGAAAGAAAAUUGGUGGCAUGAAAACUGCUGUAGCCAUUGGACGUUCUCUCCAAAUGGGCUUUAAGUGCAUGUUCUUGUUUAUUGCUCUCCUGCUGGGAUGAGGACCUGCAACCAUCUCUGUUACCAAUUCGUCUGCCCUGUAAGGACCUCAUUUUUCAGUCUGGG
Molecule: long non-coding RNA, 2786 nt
Organism: Gallus gallus (chicken)
Lineage: Eukaryota; Metazoa; Chordata; Aves; Galliformes; Phasianidae
Source: Ensembl